AGUGAGAUAGCUGGGUCAAAUGGUGGUUUCAUUCCAAAUUUUCUAAGGAAUCUCCAUAUUGCUUUCCAGAGUGGUUGCACCCAUUUGCAUUCAGUCCCGCAAGCAAU
RNAcentral lists this microRNA precursor (107 nucleotides) under Marmota monax (woodchuck). Lineage: Eukaryota; Metazoa; Chordata; Mammalia; Rodentia; Sciuridae. The record is from RNAcentral.